UUUGCUGACCUUCUCGGUUUCCACACCCACCACCUGGAUCAGCUUGUCGGCAUUCUCGUUUUUCUGCUUGAGCUCAGCCUCCUGAAUCGCCAGCUUGGCUUUUAAGUCAUCCACCUCGGGGAGGAGAUGCCAAGAGACGGUAUUAAAACCCACGCGUCCUUUCUGGCGUGAGAAUGGACGUUUCUCUAAGGCCGGAAUCCCGUUCCUCCGACUCGGGGAAGGUUCUUCCCUACCUGGGACGCUGUGCUCUGCAGUUUCAUCAGGCCGUUCUCCAGCCUCUCGAUCUUGGCCACCAGCUCCAUUCUCUUCCUGGCCAGCAGGUUCUGGCUAUGAAGAGACUGAUGGAAGCCUUGACAUCUCCCUGCAAAGGCAAGAUGGGCCGUUGGUUCCCUGUCCCCUGGCGGGAGCGACCCCACCCCGGUGGGGGCCCUGGAGGAGCCCCGGGAGGAAUGGGGGCCGUCAAGACAGCAAUGCCUGUGCAGGCCGUCGUGGGCGCUUGGUGACAUUGUACCAGCAAGGGUCUGGCUCAGUGCCAGGGACGCAACAUGGCUUGACUCCCGUGAUCACCUCUCUCUGAUUCACGCCCGCCCAUACCUGGGAGAGCGCAGGGCCCGACGGUAUGUUUGAGUGACCUGGGCCAUCCAGUAGGCAUUUAUUGUGCGAAGGGUCCUACGCUGGGUCCUGCUUCCCACGGCAGGGUCACAGCCACCACCGUCUGGGUCCACCCCAUCUGCCUGGGCGCCUGGUCCCAGGAAUUGUCCAAGCCAUGCCAGCCGUGAUUCAAGGUAAUUUGGAAACGUGUUCUCCCUGACACGUGCUGCCUCAGCAUCUGCCCUGUGGCCCUCGCUGGUGCCAGCCGUGGGGGCCUUUCCCCGAUUUUAGGGGGGGGGGCUGGAAACCCCACAUCUGUGCCCCAAGCAAAGUGUGGGAAGGGCCCAUCCCAGAGUAGGUGCUCUAGCAAUGACCAGCAGGAGAUUUUACCCACCUUUCCCACCAGGCCCACGGUUAACUUCAGGUUCGGUACUUAGUAACUGAAUAUGUGUCCAAAAUAAAACAAAACAUGAUAACCAA
Long non-coding RNA from Neofelis nebulosa (Clouded leopard), 1071 nucleotides. RefSeq lists it as uncharacterized. Lineage: Eukaryota; Metazoa; Chordata; Mammalia; Carnivora; Felidae. The transcript is spliced from 3 exons. The record is from RefSeq and is a predicted model, not a curated record.